Anser brachyrhynchus (Pink-footed goose) is the source of this 2112-nucleotide long non-coding RNA. The record is from Ensembl. Lineage: Eukaryota; Metazoa; Chordata; Aves; Anseriformes; Anatidae.
AAGGCAGACAGAAAAUUUGCUAUAGGUCUGGUGAUAAUGAAGGAGUUAGAGACCCUACCUCUGAAGUUUUCUGACAAUAAGCACAAAAUUAAGAUGUCUGCACUCCCACAGUGAGGGUAUUAGGCCUUCCUGGAGCCUAAAAAGCACUGCUGCUGCUGCCUUGCAGAGUACCCAGUGAGCAGUGUGGCAAUGCAGAGGCUAAUUGAUUGGAGGUGAUUGCUUAUCGCCACCAGCAUCACACACUUAGAGCCAAACCCUGCCUUUGCUUUCUGUUAAGUCCAGCUUCUACCACUGUGAGUGGCCCUGCUGACUCAAAAUUGCUGUUUCAGGUAUUUGGCAUGGGGACUGGCCAUAAACGUUCACAGAUGGGCCUGUGGUGAGGCUGUGUGUUGCUUCAGGUUGAGCAGAACUGAAAUGCCCUACAGCCACCCUCUCUGUAGGGGCUGUGGACUUUCAAACUGUGAAGUAUCAUGCCAGAGCAAAGCAGUGGUAUAACACUCAGUGAGUCCAACCAGAGUGGGCUUUUCUGGUGGUCAGUGCUGCAUGAAGACCCAGGAAGCCUUUGUCUGCUCUUCAAAGUGUUCACAACUGAAGAUACAGAUGUAGCAGUACUGCUUUUUGUUCUGGGGAGGAAAAAAAACAUCUGUUGUGCUAAGACCUCAUCUCUAAAACCAAGAUGAGGUGCAAUUCUUAGGUGGAUCGUGUUAUUUUACACAGCUCUCUCAGCCCCCUCUCAUCAUACCCCCACACUCUUGCCCCUGACUGCCCCCUCAUUAUGGACCUGUCCUCAUUAUGGACCCAGAGCAAGCUGAGGAGAAGCUGAGGUGGAAGCUGGGAGCUGGAGCGAUAGCACAGUGCUGACGGGGAGCCAAAGGAACAGUGCUCCCAUUCAUUCCUGCAUCAGCUGAACCUGGUGCUGGCACAGCAACUAUUUCAGACACUGCAAACUGAAGCAAGAGGAGAUGAAGAAAGCAUUACAGGGAGCUAGGACAGGCUUGUCCUCCUCACCUUGGAUAUCAGACACUUCACUGGCAACUCACAGUCCUGCAGGCAGAACAGAGGUGGAAGUAUCACAGUCAGAGUUUUUAACAAGCACUGCUUGUCUGCAUCCAGUUUAUCAUCUUCCCUUGCAUUUAUUAAGAGCAAGUUAUGGUUUAGAAAACAUAUGAGCAGGGGCACAGUUAGCCUCCAUCCCCAGAACAAGAUUUGUGCUGGUCAGUUGAGGACCCCUGCCAGCUAUUCACAAGCAGGGCUGCUAGCUGGUGUUUUUUUCCCUUGUUUCAUUGCUACAGCUACAGUUUUACAUUGAUUGGUAUAACUUUCAAGUCAUUAAAAUAGAUUCUUUCAUAAAAUAUCCAAAUCCUGGACUAAGCUGAUUACUGCUGAAUUUGAAUGACUGCAAUUGUUUUCACCUCAGUUUGUGCUAUUAAAUUUAGCAGUAAUUAACAUCUCCUUUCCUUAAGUUUCCUCCAGAUGCCUGCUGUUAAAUUAACCAGUCUCCCAGCUGUAGCAGCAGAUCCUAACCAGUGCUGUGGCCAUGUACCUUCAUGCUAGGACCCUGUGUAGCUCUCCUUUUUAUCUUUCCUCUAAAGUGACAAAGCAGUGGCACAAAGUGAUAUAGUGACACAAAGAUGUCAAUAAGGAUGUAUUUUCCUGUUUUGUUAACAUUUAUUUACAGUAAUUAACCUAUAAAUAGGUUAGGACUGUGAAGCUAAGGCUGAUUGAAUAGCUCUGGGGUAAGCAAGAGCAAUAGUUGACACGUUUUUUUUCCACCACAAUAAGUUACAACUCUGCACAGGCGUUUGAUGGAGAUGGCAAAUCCUGCCCUGCAAAAUGCGCCCCAAAAGCGUCCCUGCAGUUAGGGAGAGGAGGGGGUCAGGACUCCUUAUAAUCUAAACCUGACUCCCAGCUAUCUACUGGAAAUCCUCUUCACAUCCAUAUUUUUGGGGAGAUAACUUCUAAAUAAGCAAGGCAAAAACUGACUUCCCAUUCUAUAUGCAAAAAGCUUCUUUUCCUUAUUCAAAGAUCUAAGAAGCUAUGCUUGCAAACCACCUGUCAGGGAACUUUUCUGCCUGUAAGAAUCAAUUGGAAUAAAGGAAAAAAAUAACCCCA